This 580-nucleotide long non-coding RNA is filed under the name Numida meleagris (helmeted guineafowl). Its description in RNAcentral is "lncRNA (ENSNMEG00000002054.1)". The record is from RNAcentral. Lineage: Eukaryota; Metazoa; Chordata; Aves; Galliformes; Numididae.
UAGAGGUGAAAAAGCCAAGGAAUGAGAAGAAUACAGAAGAUACCCAAGCAUCUAAUGAAUGCUAUCUUGUUCAGUGGUGAUCUCUUAUAGUUUUCACAAGCUGACACACAGCAUAUUGCUGUGCAGAUGGGACAAAUAACCAUGUUCUGAUCAGGCCCCUCGAUCUGGCAGUCUGCAAGGCUAAGACACCCAGCUCAAGUGCACAGGGGACGAGGCAGAUCUGGGACAAAUACCCUUUAGAGGUUAUGAACAUCACUGUACAGCAAAGUCAUAAUUUGACUUAUAUUCAUUGCCUUACUCGUGAAAUAUUGCCUAAAACAGGUUAGCUAGAAAGAAUCUGGCUUCCCAAAAUUUGUUCCUACCUAUUCACUAUGAUGUAUAAUACUGCCAAUCAGUUGCAGUCUCCAUCUAGCAGCAUCGUGGACUCUUUUUACUUCUAUAAACUCUGCAAACACAUUCAGUUUUCAGUCUAGCUGGCAGUACUGCUGGCACAUGAAUGACUCUGUCCUCAUGGAAUUGCCUGAAAGAAGAAAAAGCAUUGUUAUCUGAACAGAAUAAGUAGCAAGGGGUAAUCUUGGCA